GGAGGAUAUAUACAGGGGGUACCGGUACAGAGUCAAUGUGGAGGAUAUAUACAGGGGGUACCGGUACAGAGUCAAUGUGGAGGCUAUAUACAGGGGGUACUGGUACAGAGUCAAUGUGGAGGCUAUAUACAGGGGGUACCGGUACAGAGUCAAUGUGGAGGCUAUAUACAGGGGGUACCGGCACAGAGUCAAUGUGGAGGCUAUAUACAGGGGGUACCAGUACAGAGUCAAUGUGGAGGCUAUAUACAGGGGGUACCGGUACAGAGUCAAUGUGGAGGCUAUAUACAGGGGGUACCGGUACAGAGUCAAUGUGGAGACUAUAUACAGGGGGGUACCGGUACAGAGUCAAUGUGGAGACUAUAUACAGGGGGUACUGGUACAGAGUCAAUGUGGAGACUAUAUACAGGGGGUACAGGUACAGAGUCAAUGUGGAGACUAUAUACAGGGGGUACUGGUACAGAGUCAAUGUGGAGACUAUAUACAGGGG
Long non-coding RNA from Oncorhynchus tshawytscha (Chinook salmon), 487 nucleotides. The record is from Ensembl. Lineage: Eukaryota; Metazoa; Chordata; Actinopteri; Salmoniformes; Salmonidae.